RNAcentral lists this ribosomal RNA (987 nucleotides) under Metarhizium cylindrosporum. RNAcentral's name for it is "SSU rRNA". It matches the Rfam family "Eukaryotic small subunit ribosomal RNA", at positions 96 to 1094 of the family's 1831-position model. The record is from RNAcentral. Lineage: Eukaryota; Fungi; Ascomycota; Sordariomycetes; Hypocreales; Clavicipitaceae.
GCUCAUUAUAUAAGUUAUCGUUUAUUUGAUAGUACCUUACUACUUGGAUAACCGUGGUAAUUCUAGAGCUAAUACAUGCUGAAAAUCCCGACUUCGGAAGGGAUGUAUUUAUUAGAUUAAAAACCAAUGCCCUCUGGGCUCUCUGGUGAUUCAUGAUAACUUCUCGAAUCGCAUGGCCUUGCGCCGGCGAUGGUUCAUUCAAAUUUCUUCCCUAUCAACUUUCGAUGUUUGGGUAGUGGCCAAACAUGGUUGCAACGGGUAACGGAGGGUUAGGGCUCGACCCCGGAGAAGGAGCCUGAGAAACGGCUACUACAUCCAAGGAAGGCAGCAGGCGCGCAAAUUACCCAAUCCCGAUUCGGGGAGGUAGUGACAAUAAAUACUGAUACAGGGCUCUUUUGGGUCUUGUAAUUGGAAUGAGUACAAUUUAAAUCCCUUAACGAGGAACAAUUGGAGGGCAAGUCUGGUGCCAGCAGCCGCGGUAAUUCCAGCUCCAAUAGCGUAUAUUAAAGUUGUUGUGGUUAAAAAGCUCGUAGUUGAACCUUGGGCCUGGCUGGCCGGUCCGCCUCACCGCGUGUACUGGUCCGGCCGGGUCUUUCCCUCUGUGGAACCCCAUGCCCUUCACUGGGUGUGGCGGGGAAACAGGACUUUUACUUUGAAAAAAUUAGAGUGCUCCAGGCAGGCCUAUGCUCGAAUACAUUAGCAUGGAAUAAUGAAAUAGGACGUGCGGUUCUAUUUUGUUGGUUUCUAGGACCGCCGUAAUGAUUAAUAGGGACAGUCGGGGGCAUCAGUAUUCAAUUGUCAGAGGUGAAAUUCUUGGAUUUAUUGAAGACUAACUACUGCGAAAGCAUUUGCCAAGGAUGUUUUCAUUAAUCAGGAACGAAAGUUAGGGGAUCGAAGACGAUCAGAUACCGUCGUAGUCUUAACCAUAAACUAUGCCGACUAGGGAUCGGACGAUGUUAUUUUUUGACUCGUUCGGCACCUUACGAG